Molecule: long non-coding RNA, 1254 nt
Filed under: Pogona vitticeps (central bearded dragon)
Lineage: Eukaryota; Metazoa; Chordata; Lepidosauria; Squamata; Agamidae
Description: lncRNA (ENSPVIG00000015282.1)
Source: RNAcentral
AACAAGACUUUUACCAGCUAUAUGACAUAUACAACUUUUUAAAAAUCACUGGUCAGGACAGUUAAGCACAAAACCAUAUUUUGGGUCAAUUAUAAUAAUGUUGUGAUAGGCAACCUUUGAUCCUCCAGAUGUUUGGGACUAUAAUUUGUAAAGUCUUACCAUUUGCCAUACUGGCUGGAACAGAUGAAUGUUGCAGACCAAAACAUCUGGAAACCAAAACAUUCUCACCCCUAAUAUAAUACUACAUCAGGGCGCAGUAAGAUUUUAUGUACAAUUUACUUCCUAAAUCUAUCCAUGUUAACAUCUGCUUUGAAAUUAACCUCCAGCAAUAAUGCAAUGUGUCUCAUUCCACUGUUUCUCAAAAGAAGGGGGGGUCACAUCAACAACAAAAAACCACCUAAUCGAUGAAAAAUUGGUUUAACAACCUCCUUCAAGAAAUACUUCAGUAAACAUUAUUCAGUAAAAAAAAACUGAUAGGAAAAUAGUAUGGUCCUCAACAAGAAAUACUACUCACAGUAGGUGUUAUUUGUUUAUCCCUAGCAAGUAAUCUUCUGAAAAAUGACCACAAGAGUUGCUCCUUUCCCAGUUUUUCAAGAAGGAACAAAAAAUGAACAAAAAAGGGAGCAACCCAUUCCCCUACAUCCCUGAAGAAGACAAGCUACUCCCCAACAUCCCUGAAGAGAAAGCCUCAACUGAUACAGAGAUUGAUGCUUGUACUGUAUGCUGUAUUCUGUAUGGCCCUGGCUGUGAGGAACACUCUUCUGUCUAUUAGUAGUUGUGACCAAAGAGGACUCUGCUUCAUAAGAAGAUUCCAAGAGUUUAAUCUCUUCAAGCCUCUCAAGGAAGGACAGGCCAUCAACAGAGAAACACAGACAGGAACCCCUCCCUGUGCUAGGACAGCAGAGAAAUGGUAAAACUGAACACAACAAUGGAUGUGGCUAUUUGAAACAGGGACAAAGAAGAGACAUUGGAAUACCUUGCAUGGGCAAAAUGGAGGCAGCAAGGCUGAAGUUGGGAGGAUCAGAGGAUGAUUGCCUCAUCUCUAUCACAUGAGGAUGCUACAGCAAUAGGAGCCUGUUUCAUAGUUACAAUUUUUGGGAAGGAUCUCUAUUUUUUAUUUGGCUUAGAAAUGCUAUAUGGUGCUGGCAGCAGAAUAUAUUUUGGCAUGUUUUUGCAGCAAUUAUAAAAGUAUUUGGUUUCUGAGGAAGUGGAUUUUGUCCCAGAAAUAAAAUGGUUAGUCUUUAAAAUGCUACA